Molecule: small nucleolar RNA, 99 nt
Filed under: Cephalotus follicularis
Lineage: Eukaryota; Viridiplantae; Streptophyta; Magnoliopsida; Oxalidales; Cephalotaceae
Description: Small nucleolar RNA snoR31/Z110/Z27
Rfam family: Small nucleolar RNA snoR31/Z110/Z27
About the family: This family contains several related snoRNAs including R31, Z27 and Z110. Family members belong to the C/D class of snoRNAs which contain the C (UGAUGA) and D (CUGA) box motifs. Most of the members of the box C/D family function in directing site-specific 2'-O-methylation of substrate RNAs.
Source: Rfam by way of RNAcentral
AUCAUCAAGAUGACGAAAUCAGAAAAUCUUAGGACACCUUCUGACACAGUACGAGGUUGCUGUGUAUGAGAAAGAUUUUCAUUUCUGAUAUGCGAUGAU